RNAcentral lists this ribosomal RNA (301 nucleotides) under uncultured bacterium. RNAcentral describes it as "partial 16S ribosomal RNA". It matches the Rfam family "Bacterial small subunit ribosomal RNA", at positions 509 to 807 of the family's 1533-position model. The record is from RNAcentral.
CAGUCGCCGCGGUAAUACGUAGGGUGCGAGCGUUAAUCGGAAUUACUGGGCGUAAAGCGUGCGCAGGCGGUUCGUUAAGACAGAUGUGAAAUCCCCGGGCUUAACCUGGGAACUGCAUUUGUGACUGGCGAGCUAGAGUAUGGCAGAGGGGGGUAGAAUUCCACGUGUAGCAGUGAAAUGCGUAGAGAUGUGGAGGAAUACCGAUGGCGAAGGCAGCCCCCUGGGCCAAUACUGACGCUCAUGCACGAAAGCGUGGGGAGCAAACAGGAUUAGAUACCCGAGUAGUCCCUGUCUCUUAUAC